This 772-nucleotide ribosomal RNA is filed under the name uncultured Chloroflexota bacterium. RNAcentral describes it as "bacterial SSU rRNA". It matches the Rfam family "Bacterial small subunit ribosomal RNA", at positions 119 to 904 of the family's 1533-position model. The record is from RNAcentral. Lineage: Bacteria; Bacillati; Chloroflexota.
GGGUGACCUGCCCUGAAGUGGGGGAUAACUACCCGAAAGGGUAGCUAAUACCGCAUGUGAUCUGCCAUUCGGUUGGCAGAUUAAAGGCCUGUAUAGGUCGCUUCAGGAGGGGCCCGCGGCCGAUCAGGUAGUUGGUAGGGUAACGGCCUACCAAGCCGAUGACCGGUAGGGGGCGUGAGAGCGCGGCCCCCCACACUGGCACUGAAACACGGGCCAGACUCCUACGGGAGGCAGCAGUGAGGAAUAUUGCGCAAUGGGCGAAAGCCUGACGCAGCAACGCCGCGUGGGCGAUGAAGGCCUUCGGGUUGUAAAGCCCUUUUCUGGGGGACGAGGAAGGACGGUACCCCAGGAAUAAGUCUCGGCUAACUACGUGCCAGCAGCCGCGGUAAAACGUAGGAGGCGAGCGUUAUUCGGAUUUACUGGGCGUAAAGCGCGUGCAGGCGGCUCUGUAAGUCAGGCGUGAAAUCUCCCGGCUUAACCGGGAGGCUGCGUCUGAUACUGCAGGGCUAGAGGUCGGGAGAGGGAAGUGGAAUUCCCGGUGUAGCGGUGGAAUGCGUAGAUAUCGGGAGGAACACCAGUGGCGAAGGCGGCUUCCUGGCCCGCACCUGACGCUCAGACGCGAAAGCGUGGGGAGCGAACGGGAUUAGAUACCCCGGUAGUCCACGCCGUAAACGAUGGAUACUAGGUGUCGGGUGGUGUUGACCCCAUCGGCGCCGUAGCUAACGCGUUAAGUAUCCCGCCUGGGGACUACGGCCGCAAGGCUAAAACUCAA